AGAACGAACGCUGGCGGCAUGCCUAACACAUGCAAGUCGAACGCGUGUAGCGAUACACGAGUGGCGGACGGGUGAGUAACGCGUGGGAACCUGCCCUGGAGUGUGGGAUAACCGAGGGAAACUUCGGCUAAUACCGCAUACGACCUGAGGGUGAAAGAUUUAGUCGGCUCUAGGAGGGGCCCGCGUCGGAUUAGCUAGUUGGUGGGGUAAAGGCCUACCAAGGCAGUGAUCCGUAGCUGGUCUGAGAGGAUGAUCAGCCACACUGGGACUGAGACACGGCCCAGACUCCUACGGGAGGCAGCAGUGGGGAAUAUUGGACAAUGGGGGGCAACCCUGAUCCAGCAAUGCCGCGUGAGUGAUGAAGGCCUUAGGGUUGUAAAGCUCUUUCGCGCGCGACGAUGAUGACGGUAGCGCGAGAAGAAGCCCCGGCUAACUCGUGCCAGCAGCCGC
Molecule: ribosomal RNA, 450 nt
Filed under: uncultured bacterium
Lineage: Bacteria
Description: SSU rRNA
Rfam family: Bacterial small subunit ribosomal RNA
Source: RNAcentral